AGCUUGAUGUAUACAUAGUAGCUUUUCAAUUUAUCGUCACAGAUCACUUUGAAUUUUUCGACCUAUCUCACUAUAAGAUGUUCCUUCAGAGUUGAAGAUUAUUACUUCCUAGUCCAAACCUCCCGUAGGACGACAGGGGAUGGGAGCGGGCAGGGUUUAAACCCUGGACCACUGACAAAUCUGAACGACAGUCCAGCGCGCAAACCACACAACCAAAAUAUCUAGUCUAGAUCUAGUAGAUCUAUUUCUAUAUGUCUAUAUCAUUAUAUUAUUAUAUAAAUCUAUAAUAAUAGAUUUUUAUUCUGUACGCAAUAGUGAUUUGGGGUAUUCUAGUCAAUCCAGAUGAGACAGCAAUUAGUAUGCGUAUUUGUGAUACUUAGAUUAGAAAGUAAUAGUAAGAUCUAGUAGGGCUGUAGAUCUAGUCUAUAAAUUAUACCAUAUUAGUAAGUUUAUAUUUUCUGUUUGUAAAAUGUUUCAGAUGUUCCUUCAGAGUUGAAGAUUAUUACUUCCUAGUCCAAACCUCCCGUAGGACGACAGGGGAUGGGAGCGGGCAGGGUUUAAACCCUGGACCACUGACAAAUCUGAACGACAGUCCAGCGCGCAAACCACACAACCAAAAUAUCUAGUCUAGAUCUGGUAGAUCUAUUUCUAUAUGUCUGUAUCAUUAUAUUAUUAUAUAAAUCUAUAAUAAUAGAUUUUUAUUCUGUACGCGAUAGUGAUUUGGGGUAUUCUAGUCAAUCCAGAUGAGACAACAAUUAGUAUGCGUAUUUGUGAUACUUAGAUAAGAAAGUAAUAGUAAGAUCUAGAAGGGCUGUAGAUCUAGUCUAUAAAUUAUACCAUAUUAGUAAGUUUAUAUUUUCUGUUUGUAAAAUGUUUCAGAUGUUCCUUCAGAGUUGAAGAUUAUUACUUCCUAGUCCAAACCUCCCGCAGGACGACAGGGGAUGGGAGCGGGCAGGGUUUAAACCCUGGACCACUGACAAAUCUGAACGACAGUCCAGCGCGCAAACCACACAACCAAAAUAUCUAGUCUAGAUCUAGUAGAUCUAUUUCUAUAUAUGUCUGUAUCAUUAUAUUAUUAUAUAAAUCUAUAAUAAUAGAUUUUUAUUCUGUACGCGAUAGUGAUUUGGGGUAUUCUAGUCAAUCCAGAUGAGACAGCAAUUAGUAUGCGUAUUUGUGAUACUUAGAUUAGAAAGUAAUAGUAAGAUCUAGUAGGGCUGUAGAUCUAGUCUAUAAAUUAUACCAUAUUAGUAAGUUUAUAUUUUCUGUUUGUAAAAUGUUUCAGAUGUUCCUUCAGAGUUGAAGAUUAUUACUUCCUAGUCCAAACCUCCCGCAGGAUGACAGGGGAUGGGAGCGGGCAGGGUUUAAACCCUGGACCACUGACAAAUCUGAACGACAGUCCAGCGCGCAAACCGCACGACCAAAAAAUGUUAAGAAAUUACCAGAGAAAAACACAAGGCUCGUAUGGUCAACAUUCUUGACAGGAGAUUUAAAAGCUAUCGCUGAUGGGAUGCCACUUAACAAUGUCUCCGAAAAAAUUACAUUUAUAAUUAUUAAAUAUUUCACUUAUACUUUUUAAA
This is a long non-coding RNA of Biomphalaria glabrata, 1577 nucleotides long. RefSeq lists it as uncharacterized. Lineage: Eukaryota; Metazoa; Mollusca; Gastropoda; Planorbidae. The record is from RefSeq and is a predicted model, not a curated record. The transcript has 3 exons.